CACCAACCGCGGGUAAUUCCAAGCUCCAAUAGCGUAUAUUAAAGUUGUUGUGGUUAAAAAGCUCGUAGUUAACCUUGGGCCKGGCUGGCCGGUCCGCCUCACCGCGUGUACUGGUCCGGCCGGGCCUUCCCUUCUGUGGAACCCCAUGCCCUUCACUGGGUGUGGCGGGGAAACAGGACUUUUACUGUGAAAAAAUUAGAGUGCUCCAGGCAGGCCUAUGCUCGAAUACAUUAGCAUGGAAUAAUAGAAUAGGACGUGUGGUUCUAUUUUGUUGGUUUCUAGGACCGCCGUAAUGAUUAAUAGGGACAGUCGGGGGCAUCAGUAUUCAAUUGUCAGAGGUGAAAUUCUUGGAUUUAUUGAAGACUAACUACUGCGAAAGCAUUUGCCAAGGAUGUUUUCAUUAAUCAGGAACGAAAGUUAGGGGAUCGAAGACGAUCAGAUACCGUCGUAGUCUUAACCAUAAACUAUGCCGACUAGGGAUCGGACGGUGUUAUUUUUUGACCCGUUCGGCACCUUACGAGAAAUCAAAGUGCUUGGGCUCCAGGGGGAGUAUGGUCGCAAGGCUGAAACUUAAAGAAAUUGACGGAAGGGCACCACCAGGGGUGGAGCCUGCGGCUUAAUUUGACUCAACACGGGGAAACUCACCAGGUCCAGACACAAUGAGGAUUGACAGAUUGAGAGCUCUUUCUUGAUUUUGUGGGUGGUGGUGCAUGGCCGUUCUUAGUUGGUGGAGUGAUUUGUCUGCUUAAUUGCGAUAACGAACGAGACCU
This 770-nucleotide ribosomal RNA is filed under the name uncultured Hypocreales. Its description in RNAcentral is "SSU rRNA". It matches the Rfam family "Eukaryotic small subunit ribosomal RNA", at positions 570 to 1354 of the family's 1831-position model. The record is from RNAcentral. Lineage: Eukaryota; Fungi; Ascomycota; Sordariomycetes; Hypocreales.